GGAACGCAUGAGUCGAUUAGCCAUGCGAGUCGAGAGGGUCGGUCCUCGGCGUACUGCUCAGUAAUAGGGAACACCUGCCCUAGGGAAGGGGAUAACCCCGGGAAACGGGGAUAAUACCCUAUAGAUUACAGAUGCUGGAAUGCCCUGUAAUCCAAAGUUCCGACGCCCUAGGAUGGAUCUGCGGCCGAUUAGGUUGUUGUUGGGGUAAUGGCCCAACAAGCCCGUAAUCGGUACGGGUUGUGGGAGCAAGAGCCCGGAGUUGGAUUCUGAGACACGAAUCCAGGCCCUACGGGGCGCAGCAGGCGCGAAAACUUUACAAUGCGGGCAACCGUGAUAAGGGAACCUCGAGUGCCUGUAAAUGCAGGCUGUUCAGGUGCCUAAAACACACCUGAAGAAAGGCCCGGGCAAGA
RNAcentral lists this ribosomal RNA (410 nucleotides) under uncultured methanogenic archaeon. RNAcentral's name for it is "bacterial SSU rRNA". It matches the Rfam family "Archaeal small subunit ribosomal RNA", at positions 33 to 451 of the family's 1478-position model. The record is from RNAcentral. Lineage: Archaea; Methanobacteriati; Methanobacteriota.